This 111-nucleotide small RNA is filed under the name Salmonella enterica subsp. enterica serovar Infantis. RNAcentral describes it as "partial RtT sRNA". It matches the Rfam family "RtT RNA", at positions 1 to 110 of the family's 130-position model. From Rfam's summary of the family: This family represents a bacterial cis-regulatory element known as RtT RNA. Lineage: Bacteria; Pseudomonadati; Pseudomonadota; Gammaproteobacteria; Enterobacterales; Enterobacteriaceae. The record is from RNAcentral. RNAcentral also lists the same sequence under 5 other names.
AUAUCUCUCUGUACGGGAAGGAUGAGAAGCUUCGACUAAGGUUCGAUUCGAGCGCAGCGAGAAAGCGUUGCCGCAGGCAACGACCCGAAGGGCGAAGCGCGCAGCGCUGAG